Vespa mandarinia (Asian giant hornet) is the source of this 1955-nucleotide long non-coding RNA. The record is from RefSeq and is a predicted model, not a curated record. NCBI's taxonomy places the organism in Eukaryota, Metazoa, Arthropoda, Insecta, Hymenoptera, Vespidae.
AAUUUACGUGAUAAUCUUUUUAUAAGAAUUUUUCACAUUUUUCAUCGGAACGAGAUAAAAGUCGAAUUGCAAAUGAAAAAGUUUUAAUAAAAAUAGAAAUUCUUUGAAAGUUCAUGCUCAAACUUGGUACGUCAUCACAUUCCGAGAUUAUUUUGACUGUGGAACGAGGAAAGGUAAUUCAAUGAUGUUGUGUGACGUUUAUGAAUCACGCGUUGUACAUAACAUUCCAAGCUAGGCUGAACGGAAGUCGCCAAGAGGCUGUAACGUGUGAUCAAUUAUUAAUGAGUCUUGAGCUCGAUGCACAUUCUACGAUCUUUUACGUCGGCCACAUCGUGUCCGAAGUAUUUCGCCGCGUUAGCGCCACUAGGAAUACUGUAACCACUUCUAAAGGCACGAUAACGGUGUUCGAAGUCGUAGCUUGUGGUGGAUAGGUACGAUGAUUUUUAUUACUUAACGAUGAGCGCGCAAAGAGACGAAGAGAAAUUCGUCGUCUUCAGGGUCUUUAACGAUUUACGAGCUUUCUGCAAACUAAUACACUCUCGAUCAACAACGAGCGACUACGUUGGCUGGCACGCUCAGGAACGCUUAAAUAUUCAGUCAUUGAAGCGAAACAGCGGGAAUUUCCAAAAAUAUGUAGUGAAAGAAAAAAAAGAUUACAAGAAGUGAAAAGAAGAUGAAGUGGAUAAGGAGUAGAAGAAAUGGAAGGAUGGAGAGACAGGAGGACGAUGGGUCAUCAGUGGAAGAUUAAGAAGAGGAGCAAGGACCUCCAGUAGAACCGGUCAUCCUCGUUCGUCCGCGUAAACUCAUCUUCCAACUCAAAGAGAGAUCGCAAGGAACGAUUACUCGCGCCACGGAUCAUUCCGUUGGAUCUUGAGAUCUUCUCGACUCUUGGGAUCUUCUCUUCUCGACUCUCCGCCAACUUGACGACCCCCUUCCUUCUCUUCUUUUAAAAUCGAUUUUCUUCCUCGUUUUUCCGAUAGUUUCAUUUGUUUCUCUUAAUGUCUUAGACUUUUUUUCUACAUUAUUUUCGUUAUCAAUGAAAUAUAUUUAUUAUAAAUAUUGAUAUUUAAAAUCGAUUUUUUCGUGAAGUAAGUUUCGUACGUAAAAGAAUUUUUUUUUGUCUUUUUUUUUUCUAUAAAAAUUUAUUCCAUUUUGUUAAGAAUAAUUUUUUUUUUUUGAAUGUGUUUCACGAUAAUUAACUAAUAAUAUUAAUGUUAUAACUAUGUUUAGAUAGGAGAAGUUCCUCGUUAAGAACGAAUCGAAAGAAAGUCGAGUUAAACGGAUAUAUUCAGGGUCGCAAUAGAGAAGCAUAACGUUGAUCAUCUGACGUGUGGGUGUUACGGCGCGAGACGAGAGGACGGAGAUCGCGAUCAAGGUUCAUCGAUCUAUCGCCGUGAGGUCGGCUCCUCGGUGCAUAGCUGCACCUUGAGUGCAUCCACCUGGUGAACGCCCACACCGCCCACUACAAAAGCGCGCAUAACGUGCGGAUCGUUCUCUUGUGAGCAAGACCGAGGCACCUUCUUUCCGAGCAUACAUCGACCUGUCGGCCAUAAUUCACGCUUUUCCGCCAUUACGUUUAAACAGAAAAAAGGGCUGGCCAAAACUGAUCACUAUGUCGACUCUGCACAAAGGCCAGUCUUCCGUGAACAGCCGGGAGUCUGUCGUCGACCAGAACCUCGACCCAAGCUCCACACCACCAUAGACGAAAUCUAAAGACACCGGCAUAUUCUGCGCUCGGUGAUCCUGGUGGUUCACCAUUAUUCCCAAAAUCUUGAUCGGCUGGUACCACCCUGUAGAAGAGUCCUUUACUCAAGUGAAGAACACCCAGGCAUGAAACCAACCAUUUGUCACCUGAAAAAAAGAAGGAAUAUGUCCUUCAAUCGAAAAGAACUUAAACGUCAUGAGAUAGUUAAAGAGAGGAAGAAAAAGAAUACUUUUUAUGAAUAAAAAAAAAA